UGGGUGUGGUGAUGGUGGAGGAUGGGAGAAAAGGGGAUGGGCAGGGGAAGUUGGGUCAACUUUUUUUUUUUUGCAGAUUACUAUUGUGGAUUUUAGCCAUUUUGUGGAUACAUCAACCAACAAGAAAGAGUUAGGAGACUGGUGUAGCAUUGUGCAUAUGCUGAGUUGGGAAAAACAUGGAAUGGAAAAUGUAUAUUGGCUGAGAGUCCUA
This 211-nucleotide unclassified non-coding RNA is filed under the name Hevea brasiliensis (rubber tree). Lineage: Eukaryota; Viridiplantae; Streptophyta; Magnoliopsida; Malpighiales; Euphorbiaceae. The record is from RNAcentral.